This 78-nucleotide ribosomal RNA is filed under the name uncultured Symbiodinium. RNAcentral describes it as "partial Bacterial large subunit ribosomal RNA". The record is from RNAcentral. Lineage: Eukaryota; Dinophyceae; Suessiales; Symbiodiniaceae.
GGAGAAGAUUCCUAGGGAAGGAGAGUUCACCCUUAGAACCGAUCCGUGAGCUGGGUUAAUAGCGUCCACCGGCAGUUU